RNAcentral lists this ribosomal RNA (354 nucleotides) under Escherichia coli. RNAcentral describes it as "partial 23S ribosomal RNA". It matches the Rfam family "Bacterial large subunit ribosomal RNA", at positions 1 to 392 of the family's 2925-position model. The record is from RNAcentral. Lineage: Bacteria; Pseudomonadati; Pseudomonadota; Gammaproteobacteria; Enterobacterales; Enterobacteriaceae.
GUUAAGCGACUAAGCGUACACGGUGGAUGCCCUGGCAGUCAGAGGCGAUGAAGGACGUGCUAAUCUGCGAUAAGCGUCGGUAAGGUGAUAUGAACCGUUAUAACCGGCGAUUUCCGAAUGGGGAAACCCAGUGUGUUUCGACACACUAUCAUUAACUGAAUCCAUAGGUUAAUGAGGCGAACCGGGGGAACUGAAACAUCUAAGUACCCCGAGGAAAAGAAAUCAACCGAGAUUCCCCCAGUAGCGGCGAGCGAACGGGGAGGAGCCCAGAGUCUGAAUCAGUGUGUGUGUUAGUGGAAGCGUCUGGAAAGGCGCGCGAUACAGGGUGACAGCCCCGUACACAAAAAUGCACAU